Molecule: long non-coding RNA, 699 nt
Organism: Ochotona princeps (American pika)
Lineage: Eukaryota; Metazoa; Chordata; Mammalia; Lagomorpha; Ochotonidae
Exons: 2
Source: RefSeq, a predicted model, not a curated record
ACUGCCUCAACCUUAGCCAAGCUGCCAUUGGCAGAGUUAGGAGAUGCGGACACACUCCUUCUACACCCACCUCUGCACAGAGAGACGCCAGUUCUCCCGCUGUGUUGCCCUCCAUUGAUCCACGUACCUGGCUUAGCCAUUUCCCAGAUGUGUCCAACAAGAUCAGUCUCCAAAAGCCUCUCUCCUAAGGGCAGAUGAACCCAGCCCAGCUGUCCCCUGCUCUGGGCAUAUCACCAGGACUUGGUUCUCCAUGCGUCUCCCCUGUUAACCGCCGUAGGAUCCAAGGCCAGUACAGUCUUGAUUUUACCAUCUGUGAAAUGGGAAACCACUAAAGCACCCUCCCAGCCAAUGUCCCUGGAAGAGAGCAGUGCAAGGAAUGAUGGCACACCGAUGAGCCAGGCAUCUCCUCUGGGACCAGGCAGGUUAUGUGCCUGUGAGGGAGACUGCCUAGCCCGACUGUUUUCUGUAAGGUUCAUUUCCAAGUCCAUCCACAGUGUUAUGAGGAUCAAUGCUUCCUGUCUUCUUGGGGCUGGAUACUCUCCCAUGGCGUGCAUGAUUGGAUGGACACGUGAUGGUCUCUGCUCCUGGGCUGCUGUGAACUGAAGCUUGGACAUCUUUUGGCCAUUGGGAGACCUUCUCCAGAGAAAUAUCUGCCCAAACCUCUUGUCCAUUAAAACUUCUGGGUCAUUGGCUCUUGUC